UACAGGGGGGGCAAGCGUUGUUCGGAAUUACUGGGCGUAAAGGGCUCGUAGGCGGCCAACUAAGUCACACGUGAAAUCCCCAGGCUUAACCUGGGAACUGCGUGUGAUACUGGAUGGCUUGAAUCCGGGAGAGGGAUGCAGAAUUCCAGGUGUAGCGGUGAAAUGCGUAGAUAUCUGGAGGAAUACCGGUGGCGAAGGCGGCAUCCUGGACCGGCAUUGACGCUGAUGAGCGAAAGCGAGGGGAGCAAACGGG
Molecule: ribosomal RNA, 253 nt
Filed under: uncultured bacterium
Lineage: Bacteria
Description: partial 16S ribosomal RNA
Rfam family: Bacterial small subunit ribosomal RNA
Source: RNAcentral